AUGAACGCUAGCUACAGGCUUAACACAUGCAAGUCGAGGGGCAGCAUUUUAGUUUGCUUGCAAACUGAAGAUGGCGACCGGCGCACGGGUGAGUAACACGUAUCCAACCUGCCGAUAACUCCGGAAUAGCCUUUCGAAAGAAAGAUUAAUACCGGAUAGCAUACGAAUAUCGCAUGAUAUUUUUAUUAAAGAAUUUCGGUUAUCGAUGGGGAUGCGUUCCAUUAGUUUGUUGGCGGGGUAACGGCCCACCAAGACAACGAUGGAUAGGGGUUCUGAGAGGAAGGUCCCCCACAUUGGAACUGAGACACGGUCCAAACUCCUACGGGAGGCAGCAGUGAGGAAUAUUGGUCAAUGGGCGAGAGCCUGAACCAGCCAAGUAGCGUGAAGGAUGAAGGCUCUAUGGGUCGUAAACUUCUUUUAUAUGGGAAUAAAGUUUUCCACGUGUGGAAUUUUGUAUGUACCAUAUGAAUAAGGAUCGGCUAACUCCGUGCCAGCAGCCGCGGUAAUACGGAGGAUCCGAGCGUUAUCCGGAUUUAUUGGGUUUAAAGGGAGCGUAGGUGGAUUGUUAAGUCAGUUGUGAAAGUUUGCGGCUCAACCGUAAAAUUGCAGUUGAAACUGGCAGUCUUGAGUACAGUAGAGGUGGGCGGAAUUCGUGGUGUAGCGGUGAAAUGCUUAGAUAUCACGAAGAACUCCGAUUGCGAAGGCAGCUCACUAGACUGUCACUGACACUGAUGCUCGAAAGUGUGGGUAUCAAACAGGAUUAGAUACCCUGGUAGUCCACACAGUAAACGAUGAAUACUCGCUGUUUGCGAUAUACAGUAAGCGGCCAAGCGAAAGCAUUAAGUAUUCCACCUGGGGAGUACGCCGGCAACGGUGAAACUCAAAGGAAUUGACGGGGGCCCGCACAAGCGGAGGAACAUGUGGUUUAAUUCGAUGAUACGCGAGGAACCUUACCCGGGCUUAAAUUGCAACAGAAUAUAUUGGAAGCAGUAUAGCCGUAAGGCUGUUGUGAAGGUGCUGCAUGGUUGUCGUCAGCUCGUGCCGUGAGGUGUCGGCUUAAGUGCCAUAACGAGCGCAACCCUUAUCUUUAGUUACUAACAGGUGAUGCUGAGGACUCUAGAGAGACUGCCGUCGUAAGAUGUGAGGAAGGUGGGGAUGACGUCAAAUCAGCACGGCCCUUACGUCCGGGGCUACACACGUGUUACAAUGGGGGGUACAGAAGGCGGCUACCUGGUGACAGGAUGCUAAUCCCAAAAACCUCUCUCAGUUCGGAUCGAAGUCUGCAACCCGACUUCGUGAAGCUGGAUUCGCUAGUAAUCGCGCAUCAGCCAUGGCGCGGUGAAUACGUUCCCGGGCCUUGUACACACCGCCCGUCAAGCCAUGAAAGCCGGGGGUACCUGAAGUACGUAACCGCAAGGAGCGUCCUAGGGUAAAACUGGUAAUUGGGGC
RNAcentral lists this ribosomal RNA (1449 nucleotides) under uncultured organism. RNAcentral's name for it is "SSU rRNA". It matches the Rfam family "Bacterial small subunit ribosomal RNA". The record is from RNAcentral.